CACGUAGGGUGCGAGCGUUGUCCGGAAUUAUUGGGCGUAAAGAGCUCGUAGGCGGUGUGUCGCGUCGGCCGUGAAAACCUGCAGCUUAACUGUGGGCGUGCGGUCGAUACGGGCAUCACUGGAGUUCGGCAGGGGAGACUGGAAUUCCUGGUGUAGCGGUGAAAUGCGCAGAUAUCAGGAGGAACACCGGUGGCGAAGGCGGGUCUCUGGGCCGAUACUGACGCUGAGGCGCGAAAGCGUGGGGAGCAAACGGG
Molecule: ribosomal RNA, 254 nt
Filed under: uncultured bacterium
Lineage: Bacteria
Description: partial 16S ribosomal RNA
Rfam family: Bacterial small subunit ribosomal RNA
Source: RNAcentral